GUUGUAUUUGUUGAUUGAAGCUACAAGGCGUCGCCCUGUUCUGUUGUCUGAGUGAGGCCGUACUAAAUGCUAAUGUAGAAACCUCCUCAAUUUUCUCCAGAAACUCACUGCUCUUUUGAUUUGCUCAACAAUGGAAACUUCAUCUUUUAUGCUUCACUCGAGAGCAAUCCCUUUUAGUUACGCUCGUCCGAACACUCUUAGUAAUUAUAGCACGAAGAGAGUUUCUCUUAGGCAUUUCAACAAACACCUUCAAUUGCAUCGACGCGAUGUCAACUUUCAGUGCCACCAGAGCCAUACACACAGCAAAACCUCCUUAAACCCUUCGUUUGCAUUUUCGCUCUAUCAGUCACCAUCGCCCUUAAAAUUGACGAGAACCCAUUUAAUCUCUUCUGUCAAAUGCUCCUACUCCACCUCUGCAAGCACAGACUCCUCCCAAGACCACCCAUGGCUGCAGCGUCUGAAAAACAUCUCUCUUGAUGAAGUGAAAUCAACCUUUUUGCAAUUAACUCCAAUUGAUAUCAUCAAGUGGUCUGGUGUCAUAUCGAUCGCAAUUUCAGCCGCAAAGUGGACGGUCAAUUUGUUAUUGAACCCAUUUUUCUGGAUGUAUUUUAGCUGGACGUGGUUAUUUUGGCCGUGGUUGGUGGCAAUAUCAGUUGCUGUCUACGGGUUGUAUUGCUUUUAUAGACAUUAUUUGGGUGAAGCGAGCAUUUUUGAGCAACUUGCUCUUGUUACCUCAGUUUUCACUUGGCUAACUCUUGUCCCUGCUGCCCAUUUUAAUGGCUACCUCGAAGGAUGGCCUUUUGUGUUCUUCUUUGUGUAUCAUUAUUUCUUUUUCUUCAAUGUUAGCGUGAGGAAACGUUUAUAUGGAGAUUUAUUUGCUCGCCCACAUGACCCCAAGUGGGAUCUAAGCCCACCCAAGUGGUAUGGCCUUUUCUUCUGUGUUGGUGUCAUGGUUGGUCAUUGGCUCGCAGCUUUUGAAGGGCCAGAGCUACACCUUAUUCCUGGUGGAUGGAGCAAUGCGGGGAUGUGGAUUUUGAUAUUAAUAACUUUGCUGAUGCAAUAUAACUCGACACUUUACCUUGCCAAGUAUUCAGAGAAGGUGGUGGUGCCUACUGCUGUAGUGCAAUUUGGCCCAUAUAGGUGGGUCCGGCACCCAAUAUAUUCAUCCACAAUGCUGUUGUUUGCGACUUACUUUCUUGCACUUCGUGCACCUUUGAGCUUGUUGUUUGUGGUAGCAGUAUGUUUGAUAUAUUAUGGCCAGAGAGCAAAAGUGGAGGAGGCUCUGAUGAUAGAGACUUUUGGUGAGAGAUACUUAGAUUACAUGAACAAAGUCCGAUACAAGUUGAUUCCUUUAGUUUAUUAAUGCAAUCUCCAGGUUCAAUUCCAGUAACUGGCUUGCAAGGUUAUGGCUUUGUGAUACAAAUAAUCCUUUGGUAAUCGCGGUGAAACGAUUUAAAUGAGGAAGAUUUGUCAACUUGUUUGGCUUUUGGAAAAGUCAAGUCAACCAUGUUUCAUGCCCUGGCAACUUUUGAUAUUCAGGAAACAAGUAUCAGCUUAAAUGUAUGCGUGAGAAUGAAUGCUUUCUAUGAAAAGAAGAGAUAACAACUAUUGGGGAUGAAAUGGAUGUGAAUAUCUAAUGUCUGCCACUGGUUUUCUUCUUGUCACAAAACAGUUGCACGAUCUGGUAUCUAGUUAUAUAUAUCAUCUUUUUUCUUUUUUCCCUCAAA
Molecule: RNA transcript, 1727 nt
Organism: Manihot esculenta (cassava)
Lineage: Eukaryota; Viridiplantae; Streptophyta; Magnoliopsida; Malpighiales; Euphorbiaceae
Exons: 3
Source: RefSeq, a predicted model, not a curated record